RNAcentral lists this long non-coding RNA (394 nucleotides) under Homo sapiens (human). Its description in RNAcentral is "non-protein coding lnc-TP53TG3F-23:1". The record is from RNAcentral. Lineage: Eukaryota; Metazoa; Chordata; Mammalia; Primates; Hominidae.
CUCACACCGGGGAGUGGGGAACCGGGCUUCCCGCACCCCACACGCCCUGCAUGCCUGGGGCUCUCCCACAUGGGGCUUUCGUGAGCCAGGGAGCAAGGGCCUCUCCCCCUCUCCAGCCCAGCCAGGCUGCGCAGGCAGAAGGAAUCUCUCAACCUGCCCCUGCACGCGGGGAUUUUGUGUUCACUGUCCUGGCUCCUCUGGAAGUAGGACUGUCCCACCCUCAGACUCCUCGGUAGCCUCCACACCCUAACAAACGCCAGGAGGAAGAGGACCUGCAGCACGGUGGCCUAUUUGGUGCAUGCUCAGUGGGACAGCUUGGGCCCCCUCAAGCUGAGUCACAGGGGCAAGGUGUGUUUGCGCCACCCACGUCCCACCGGAGUCCGCGGUGGGGCUG